GGGCCGCCGGGUGUCGUCCGGCGCCGCCAGGCCCUGCUGACGGGCCCGGUUCACGGAGAUCAGCCGCCGUUCCGUCUCGGCGGCGGCCCAC
RNAcentral lists this transfer RNA (91 nucleotides) under Streptomyces tendae. RNAcentral describes it as "tRNA-Gln". Lineage: Bacteria; Bacillati; Actinomycetota; Actinomycetes; Kitasatosporales; Streptomycetaceae. The record is from RNAcentral.